AUUGAACGCUGGCGGAAUGCUUUACACAUGCAAGUCGAACGGCAGCACGGGGGCAGCCCUGGUGGCGAGUGGCGAACGGGUGAGUAAUACAUCGGAACGUGCCCGGUCGUGGGGGAUAACGUAGCGAAAGUUACGCUAAUACCGCAUACGAUCUGAGGAUGAAAGCGGGGGACCUUCGGGCCUCGCGCGAUCGGAGCGGCCGAUGUCAGAUUAGGUAGUUGGUUGGUAAAGGCCUACCAAGCCGACGAUCUGUAGCUGGUCUGAGAGGACGACCAGCCACACUGGGACUGAGACACGGCCCAGACUCCUACGGGAGGCAGCAGUGGGGAAUUUUGGACAAUGGGCGCAAGCCUGAUCCAGCCAUUCCGCGUGCAGGACGAAGGCCUUCGGGUUGUAAACUGCUUUUGUACGGAACGAAAAGGCUCUGGCUAAUACCUGGGGCUCAUGACGGUACCGUAAGAAUAAGCACCGGCUAACUACGUG
RNAcentral lists this ribosomal RNA (483 nucleotides) under uncultured bacterium. Its description in RNAcentral is "partial 16S ribosomal RNA". It matches the Rfam family "Bacterial small subunit ribosomal RNA", at positions 30 to 507 of the family's 1533-position model. The record is from RNAcentral.